CAGCAGCCACGGUAAUACGUAGGGUGCAAGCGUUAAUCGGAAUUACUGGGCGUAAAGCGUGCGCAGGCGGUUCUAUAAGACAGAUGUGAAAUCCCCGGGCUCAACCUGGGAACUGCAUUUGUGACUGUAGAGCUGGAGUACGGCAGAGGGGGAUGGAAUUCCGCGUGUAGCAGUGAAAUGCGUAGAUAUGCGGAGGAACACCGAUGGCGAAGGCAAUCCCCUGGGCCUGUACUGACGCUCAUGCACGAAAGCGUGGGGAGCAAACAGGAUUAGAUACCCGAGUAGUCCCUGUCUCUUAUAC
Molecule: ribosomal RNA, 301 nt
Filed under: uncultured bacterium
Lineage: Bacteria
Description: partial 16S ribosomal RNA
Rfam family: Bacterial small subunit ribosomal RNA
Source: RNAcentral